AAGUUAUGCUUUCAGGGAUUAUUUCUUUAGUUGGUGACUGGAGAGGGGUGGCUGUGAAAAGCUGAUUUUGCUAGCUAUAAUGAGGAAUUGUAGUGUUUCCUUCUGAACAUGAAAAUAGCAGAAAGUCCUGUUCUAUGGCAGUUGUUUUCUGCUAUAGAAAAAUGUCUUGUUCUUCUUGAGAAGAGCAGGGGAAAGAUGCACAGUCUGAGUGGU
This is a small nucleolar RNA of Mauremys mutica (yellowpond turtle), 213 nucleotides long. RefSeq annotates it as small nucleolar RNA U3. The transcript has a single exon. Lineage: Eukaryota; Metazoa; Chordata; Testudines; Geoemydidae. The record is from RefSeq and is a predicted model, not a curated record.